AUACAGAGGGUGCGAGCGUUAAUCGGAAUUACUGGGCGUAAAGCGCGCGUAGGCGGCUUGGUCAGUCGGAUGAGAAAGCCCCGGGCUCAACCUGGGAAUGGCAUUCGAUACUGCCAGGCUAGAGUAUGGGAGAGGGAAGUGGAAUUUCCGGUGUAGCGGUGAAAUGCGUAGAUAUCGGAAGGAACACCAGUGGCGAAGGCGACUUCCUGGCCCAAUACUGACGCUGAGGUGCGAAAGCGUGGGGAGCGAACAGGAUUAGAUACCCGAGUAGUCC
Molecule: ribosomal RNA, 274 nt
Filed under: uncultured bacterium
Lineage: Bacteria
Description: partial 16S ribosomal RNA
Rfam family: Bacterial small subunit ribosomal RNA
Source: RNAcentral